AUUGAACGCUGGCGGCAGGCCUAACACAUGCAAGUCGAGCGAGCGGCGGACGGGUGAGUAAUGUCUGGGAAACUGCCUGAUGGAGGGGGAUAACUACGGGAAACGGUAGCUAAUACCGCAUACCAUCAGAUGUGCCCAGAUGGGAUUAGCUAGUAGGUGGGGUAACGGCCCACCUAGGCGCCGAGCCCUAGCUGGUCUGAGAGGAUGACCAGCCACACUGGAACGUCGACACGGUCCCGACUCCUACGGGCGGCAGCAGUGGGGAAUAUUGCACAAUGGGCGCAAGCCUGAUGCAGCCAUGCCGCAUGUGUGAAGAAGGCCUUCGGGUUGUAAAGCACUUUCAGCGGGGAGGCGUUACCCGCAGAAGAAGCACCGGCUAACUCCGUGCCAGCAGCCGCGGUAAUAC
This 406-nucleotide ribosomal RNA is filed under the name uncultured bacterium. Its description in RNAcentral is "partial 16S ribosomal RNA". It matches the Rfam family "Bacterial small subunit ribosomal RNA", at positions 29 to 526 of the family's 1533-position model. The record is from RNAcentral.